AACGAACGCUGGCGGCAUGCCUAACACAUGCAAGUCGAACGAACCCUUCGGGGUUAGUGGCGCACGGGUGCGUAACGCGUGGGAAUCUGCCCUUUGCUUCGGAAUAACUCAGGGAAACUUGUGCUAAUACCGGAUGAUGUCUUCGGACCAAAGAUUUAUCGGCAAGGGAUGAGCCCGCGUAGGAUUAGGUAGUUGGUGGGGUAAAGGCCUACCAAGCCGACGAUCCUUAGCUGGUCUGAGAGGAUGAUCAGCCACACUGGGACUGAGACACGGCCCAGACUCCUACGGGAGGCAGCAGUGGGGAAUAUUGGACAAUGGGCGCAAGCCUGAUCCAGCAAUGCCGCGUGAGUGAUGAAGGCCCUCGGGUCGUAAAGCUCUUUUACCAGGGAUGAUAAUGACAGUACCUGGAGAAUAAGCUCCGGCGAACUCCGU
RNAcentral lists this ribosomal RNA (432 nucleotides) under uncultured bacterium. RNAcentral's name for it is "partial 16S ribosomal RNA". It matches the Rfam family "Bacterial small subunit ribosomal RNA", at positions 29 to 506 of the family's 1533-position model. The record is from RNAcentral.